CACGUAAGUUGCGAGCGUUGUUCGGAAUUAUUGGGCGUAAAGGGUAUGUAGGCGGUUCUGCAAGUCUGGUGUGAAAUUCCGGGGCUCAACCCCGGGACUGCGUUGGAAACUGCGGGACUUGAAUCGCUGAGGGGCAGCCAGAAUUCCAGGUGUAGGGGUGAAAUCUGUAGAUAUCUGGAAGAAUACCAAUGGCGAAGGCAGGCUGCCAGCAGAUGAUUGACGCUGAGGUACGAAGGUGCGGGGAGCAAAC
RNAcentral lists this ribosomal RNA (250 nucleotides) under uncultured prokaryote. Its description in RNAcentral is "partial 16S ribosomal RNA". It matches the Rfam family "Bacterial small subunit ribosomal RNA", at positions 524 to 773 of the family's 1533-position model. The record is from RNAcentral.